Molecule: unclassified non-coding RNA, 200 nt
Filed under: Thelephoraceae sp.
Lineage: Eukaryota; Fungi; Basidiomycota; Agaricomycetes; Thelephorales; Thelephoraceae
Description: partial internal transcribed spacer 2
Source: RNAcentral
UUAAGUUCAGCGGGUAAUCCUACCUGAUUUGAGAUCGAACGUUCAGAAAGCCGUCCUCACCGAGGAGGGACGUCUAUAUGAAGCUCCAGCGAACCUCCAUCACUGAAGGUUACACCCUGGCGGAUGACCACAAGCGCAGAUAGUUAUCACGCCCGUGAUGCCACCAAAUGCUGGCAAGCUGAUCCAUUUGAGAGGAGCCG